Molecule: ribosomal RNA, 274 nt
Filed under: uncultured bacterium
Lineage: Bacteria
Description: partial 16S ribosomal RNA
Rfam family: Bacterial small subunit ribosomal RNA
Source: RNAcentral
AUACAGGGGGUGCGAGCGUUAAUCGGAAUUACUGGGCGUAAAGAGUACGUAGGCGGUUGCUUAAGUCAGAUGUGAAAGCCCCGGGCUCAACCUGGGAACUGCAUUUGAAACUGAGUGACUAGAGUCUAAGAGAGGGGAGUAGAAUUCCGGGUGGAGCGGUGAAAUGCGUAGAGAUCCGGAGGAAUACCAGUGGCGAAGGCGGCUCCCUGGCUUAAAACUGACGCUGAGGUACGAAAGCGUGGGUAGCAAACAGGAUUAGAAACCCCAGUAGUCC